RNAcentral lists this transfer RNA (74 nucleotides) under Prevotella sp. Its description in RNAcentral is "tRNA-Ile". It matches the Rfam family "tRNA". Rfam says of the family: Transfer RNA (tRNA) molecules are approximately 80 nucleotides in length. Their secondary structure includes four short double-helical elements and three loops (D, anti-codon, and T loops). The record is from RNAcentral. RNAcentral also lists the same sequence under 1 other name. Lineage: Bacteria; Pseudomonadati; Bacteroidota; Bacteroidia; Bacteroidales; Prevotellaceae.
GGACUUGUAGCUCAGUUGGUCAGAGCAACAGACUCAUAAUCUGGAGGUCCCAGGUUCAAGCCCUGGCUGGUCCA